RNAcentral lists this ribosomal RNA (540 nucleotides) under uncultured bacterium. RNAcentral's name for it is "bacterial SSU rRNA". It matches the Rfam family "Bacterial small subunit ribosomal RNA", at positions 8 to 522 of the family's 1533-position model. The record is from RNAcentral.
AGAGUUUGAUCCUGGCUCAGAACGAACGCUGGCGGCGUGGAUUAGGCAUGCAAGUCGAACGCGAAAGAGGGAGCAAUCCCUUGAGUAGAGUGGCGAACGGGUGAGUAACGCGUGAAGAACCUGCCUUCAACAGGGGGAUAACACUCCCAACGGGGUGCUAAUACCGCAUGAGACCACGAAAUUGCAUAGUUUCGCGGUCAAAGGUGGCCUCUAUUUAUAAGCUACCGGUUGAAGAUGGCUUCGCGUCCCAUUAGCUAGUUGGCGGUGUAACGGACCACCAAGGCGACGAUGGGUAGCUGGUCUGAGAGGAUGGUCAGCCACACUGGGACUGAGAUACGGCCCAGACUCCUACGGGAGGCAGCAGUCGAGAGGCUUCGGCAAUGGGGGAAACCCUGACCGAGCGACGCCGCGUGGAGGAUGAAGGCCCUUGGGUUGUAAACUCCUUUUGUUGGGGAAGAAAUGCGAUCAGGUGAAUAAUCUGGUCGUUUGACGGUACCCGACGAAUAAGCUCCGGCUAACUCCGUGCCAGCAGCCGCGGUA